GAUGAACGCUGGCGGCGUGCCUAACACAUGCAAGUCGAACGGGAUACGUAUCGGAAAGCUUCGGCCGGAAGAUACGUUAUCUAGUGGCGGACGGGUGAGUAACACGUGGGUAACCUGCCUUAUGGAGGGGGAUAACAGAGAGAAAUCACUGCUAAUACCGCAUAAGCACACAGUACCGCAUGGUACAGGGUGAAAAGAUUUAUCGCCAUAAGAUGGACCCGCGUCUGAUUAGCCAGUUGGCAGGGUAAAAGCCUACCAAAGCAACGAUCAGUAGCCGAUCUGAGAGGAUGACCGGCCACAUUGGGACUGAGACACGGCCCAAACUCCUACGGGAGGCAGCAGUGGGGAAUAUUGCACAAUGGGGGAAACCCUGAUGCAGCGACGCCGCGUGAGUGAAGAAGUAUUUCGGUAUGUAAAGCUCUAUCAGCAGGGAAGAUAAUGAC
RNAcentral lists this ribosomal RNA (443 nucleotides) under Oribacterium sinus. RNAcentral describes it as "bacterial SSU rRNA". It matches the Rfam family "Bacterial small subunit ribosomal RNA", at positions 28 to 455 of the family's 1533-position model. The record is from RNAcentral. Lineage: Bacteria; Bacillati; Bacillota; Clostridia; Lachnospirales; Lachnospiraceae.